This 73-nucleotide transfer RNA is filed under the name Felis catus (domestic cat). It matches the Rfam family "tRNA". From Rfam's summary of the family: Transfer RNA (tRNA) molecules are approximately 80 nucleotides in length. Their secondary structure includes four short double-helical elements and three loops (D, anti-codon, and T loops). The record is from Rfam by way of RNAcentral. RNAcentral also lists the same sequence under 1 other name. Lineage: Eukaryota; Metazoa; Chordata; Mammalia; Carnivora; Felidae.
GCCUGGCUGGCUCAGUUGGAGGAACAUGUGACUCUUGAUCUUGGGGUCAUGGGUUCAGGCCCCAUGCUGGGCG